CCCUUAGACGUUCUGGGCCGCACGCGCGCUACACUGACACAGGCAACGAGCUUUCCUUUACCGAAAGGUAUGGGUAAUCUUUUGAAACUGUGUCGUGCUGGGGAUAGAUCCUUGCAAUUUUUGAUCUUAAACGAGGAAUUCCUAGUAAGCGCGAGUCAUCAACUCGCGUUGAUUACGUCCCUGCCCUUUGUACACACCGCCCGUCGCUACUACCGAUUGAAUGGCUUAGUGAGGCCUCAGGAUCCGCGCUUAAUGUGUGGAGAAUUUGGACAAACUACGUCAUCUAGAGGAAGUAAAAGUCGUAACA
RNAcentral lists this ribosomal RNA (307 nucleotides) under uncultured eukaryote. Its description in RNAcentral is "partial 18S ribosomal RNA". It matches the Rfam family "Eukaryotic small subunit ribosomal RNA", at positions 1470 to 1796 of the family's 1831-position model. The record is from RNAcentral.